GCGGCCUUGCCGUGCCAAUGUUUGAGAGGGGCCAGUUUUUAAUUGUGGGUUCACUAUGGGGUAUAUUUUCAUUGUGUUUUUAGUGUUGCAUUUAAUAUAUUGGUAUUGGUGCACUGUCCUGUUAGAGGAAAUAGUUUUCAGGCAAGUCGCUAGAAACUGAGGCGCGGUGUUGGUACGCCAGCUUGGGCUAGUCCAGUGGAUGACCUGCGAGUAGUAUUAGCAUAGCCCAUGUAUGGAGGUGGAGAUGAUUACACAGUUGAUGUGGAGAUGGGAAUUAAGUGGAUCGAGAAAGUGACGAUGGAGCCAUGGAGACUGUAGUUGCAGGUUGGCAGUUUUGUGAAUGAAAUUUAGUUUGUAACUGUAGAGAAUACAAGAGGUAGCCAAGACUUGACAAGAGUUUUGCUAUUCUCUGUAAUCCUUGCAACAUCGAAAACAAUUGUAGAAGAAAUCCCUGUUGAUGUUUUGGAUCCUUAAGUUUAUCUUUUGAUUCAUUGGCAGCAGAGAUAUGAACGUUUCUCUACAUAUGUUGAAUUGAAUGAGGAGGAGGUAUUCGAAGCAGCGAUGAACAUUUCACGUAUAGGAAAUUUGACCAUUGCAUAUAUAUGCAAUUCAUGCUAUUGGAUGAAAACAAAAGUACAGGUUGGAAAGUUUUUGACAGCUUUUAUAAUGAUCGGCAGGAGGAGAACAUGUGCGUGUUUGUAUAAAAUUCAAAUUUGAAAGGAACCGAGCUUCUAAACUACUUAUCAUUCAUUGGGUAUUGGCAAUUGUUUUACAUUUUUUAGAAUUAACUAAGGAUAAAUUAUAUUAAUUGAUUGAAGACUUUAAUAAAAAAGGGAAGGUAGUGCAAUGGUCGGUUUUUUGAGGAGCUAUUUAAUCUGAAUUUUUUCCAAUAUUUGACCUUAUAUCUACAUAAAAGCUCUUUGGAUUUGAAAAUUUGGUGUACGAAAAUGUUGUCAUUUUUAAAUUUUGAAUAACUUUCAUAUUCAACACCUUUUGAUUUGAACGUGUUUUAGUGUUUGAAUCGUAGAGGCAACCAAUAACCAAUGUAAUGGAUUGCAUGUUGAUUUUGGUAUAGUUCGAGGUUUUUUCAGAUAAAUGGCAUUUCUAUAAAGCUCAAGGGGGUUUUAAAAAAAUUGCCUAAGAGGUGGCUGGACUGCAGGUUGACUUCUAUAAAGUUGAAGGGUUUUUUUGAAACAUUGCCUAGAGGUGGGUUGGACUCCAAGUUAAUUCCGACAAAGUACGAGGUUUUUUUACAAAAUUCCUUGGAUACUCUGAGCCAUUCACGCGUGAUUCGAUGGUUGAGGUUUUGCGGGCGACGUUCUUGGCCCAAAGAAGUUUUGAGGGUUUUUCAGAUAAAUAGCAUUUCUAUAAAAGUUUGAGGUGGUUUUCAGAAAAAAGUUUGAGGUGGUUUUCAGAAAAUUGCCUAAGAGGUGGCUGGACUACGGGUUGAUUUCUAUAAAGUCCAAGGGGUUUUGAAAAUAUGUCUAAGAGGUGGGUUGGACUCUGAGUUAAUUCCGACAAAGUAGGAGAGGUUUUUUUACAAAAUUGCCUGACCUAUUGGAUAAUCCGAUGCGAUCAGUCAGUCGAGAUUUUGCCGACGUGGUUCGUUCUCGGCCUUAGAAGUUCACCGGUUUAUGUAUAUAGAUAUUGGAAAGUGACACCCGGACAUGCACGCUCUUAAAGCCAUGUCUUUUUUCAUGGUGAAGGAUUAGAGGUGUUGAGUCACUCAUCAUCGCUGCUGCACAACAAUUCAUCCGUAUCGUCCAUUCAAGCCGUUAGCGAUAAUCGAUAAGAUGCUGGCAUGUAUAAUUACCAUAGUCCGAGUCGUCUCUGUGGUGUCUGUCCGAUAAUUUCAACGGAUAACAUUUUGGAGCUCUUUUUUCUUUUUUAUCGAGCGAUCGUUAUCACCUUCCUUCACAACCAAGUUCCUCGCACCUCCAUUGCCCAAUCUUCUACUACUGAUUGAAAAAUUGCAGCAGCUGACGUGUCAGCUUGACUAGCCAAUAAUUGGAGAUGGACCUUGGUACUUGGUGGUGAAGGAGGAUUCUUCUCUCUUCCCAACUUCACCCUUGAACACAAAGAAAUGCUACCAACUCCUUAUAAAUACGCUCCUGAAUUAGUGACAAUUCACAAAUCCUAAAGGACCUGAACAAGGGUCAGCCGCAGAACCUGUAACACCAACCCAAGAGUAGAUCGUCAUAAGAAAAGCACCUCAGAUGGUUCUGGGACUGUGCAGAUGCUUUGGAGCUGCUCCUGCGGCAACGGAGGGAAAGAAGCUGGCUCCUGCACGGCAGUUAGUAGCAGGAGGAGAAGAACAGAAGCAGCAGCAGCCUGCCGGAGAUCAGGUAGCAGCUGGUGCUGAAGCAGGAGAGCCGAAGAUGGCGGUUGAUCGGUCCAUGGUAGUAAAGGAGAAGAGAACUCCGGCUCCGCCCCUAGUGAUGCAUCAUUUUCCCUUUCAGUCUCGUCCCGGACUGCUGUAAUAUCACCCGGCUCAUUUGCACCAUUCCUAUCUGUCUUUGGUCUGGUUUGGAAUAUGUAUGGUUUUCUUUUGAACUGAAUCUCUGAAAAUUAUGUUUUUGCUCAAAAUAACAUGUUUGGAUAGUCUUUUUCUCUGCCAUUCUGCGGCAAGUUCGUCGUUGUUGCUUCUGAUUUUCAGUUCAUGAUGCUUCUGAAUUAUGUUAGUUUUCUGUACUAGCCUUGAAUCGAUCCAUUCGCGCGGAUAUGACGUGGACGUUGUAUGCCAAUAAUAUAAUUUAUGAUAAUGUUUAAUGUUUCAUAAACUAAUUUGGUGUUUAUUAUGCUUGAUACUGUAAUCCUUCCGUAGAAAAAAUUUCGAAAACACCAUCAUAUUGUAACUAUGUGGGACUAAAAAGUACGUACUAUUCUUUUUUAUUUCAAAGCAGAAUAUUUGAAAUUGUAGAAAAAUAUUUUUUGUCACUUAAUUAAGUAGCAAAACAUCGACUACGUUGAUAAUAACUUUUGGGGUCAGGAAAAACCUUGUGCACCUGCACAAGUGUUCAACCCAAGUCUCCAAGUCAUCGAUACACUAAGGGGGUGUUUGGUUCUGGGAGGGUUAAAGUUUAGUCAUAUCACAUCAGAUGUUCAGAUACUCAUUAUGAGUAUUAAAUAUAAUCUAAUUACAAAACUAAUUAUACAGAUGGAGUCUAAUUCGUGAGACGAAUCCAUUAAGCCUAAUCAAUCCAUGAUUUGAUAAUGUGGUGCUACAGUAACCAUUUGCUAAUGAUGGAUUAAUUAGGCUUAAUAGACAUCUCGCGAAUUAGCCUAGAGGUUCUGCAAUUAGUUUUAUAAUUAGUUCAUGUUUAAUACUUCUAAUUAAGAUAUAAACAUCCGAGAUAACAGGGUUAAACUUUAGCUAUGGAUAUACAAACACCACCUAAAUGGUAGAAAACUGCUCCGGUGGUCCUUCCCAAAAAAAUUAGCACGAAUAUUAAAGCAGCCACGUCAUUAAAUGUGUUUAAUUUCCGCCUGGGUUCUGUUUGGACCCGGCUCUACCCGUGCCCUAAUUCUGCCCUAGCGCUGUCCAGUCCAAAUGACCAGGCCAGCAGAUACACGUGUGAGCCCUCCCCCUCCUCGUUUUCCUCAUCGGAUUUUUUCCGUCUCGUCUCGUCAUUUCUUCCCUCGUGCGGAGGUGCCGAAGCGCAGCUGGUCGGGCGGCGGCGGCGGCUUCCGCGGCCGUCGCCCCCGAUCCGAUUUAAUCGGCAACGAAGGCGGCUCCUCCCUCUCGCCAUCUGCCAUCAGCUCGCCGAGCGGAGCGGCUUUCGAUUUUGUCGGCGACGGCGGCGGCGACCGGCAGCAUCCCCGAUCCAAUUUCGGCGACGGCGGCCACCUCUCCGUGAUCCCUCAUCCCCUGACCGGUGCGAAAGCGGCAGCACAUCAGGGCGAAGCUGCUCCACGGUAGCGGCUCCAUGGAUGUAUUUGUACCUUGCACUGAAGAUAUUUAAGAAUGAUAAUGCCUUUGAUUUCUAUUCGUUGUUUAUUUUUGGUAUGUACCUAACUAGUUGCUGCACCGAGCAGAACCCAUUGUGCCAUAUUACCGAGCCAGUCAUCAAGACGGCCAGUGAUUGGAUCAGUUGAUGCCGUAUGAUAUUUACUCUGCAUCUACAACAGAUCAGUGUAGACACCUUUGUUCCAGCUUUUUUUUUUUUUGAAAGAACAGGAGGGAUGAAGUCCCUACUGAAAUUUAUUGCAGAAAUUAAGGUAGGAUAAAAACUUUACAGUCUGAUCAAAAGAAAAGGAAGAGGAAAACCCGAAAACAAAGAAGGAGGCGAGAGGUUGAAGGAGGAACGGAGGAUAAGCACAACUACUCAUGUGGAUCUAUGAAUUGACCCACGUGGCAUUAAACUUCAGCCACAUAUAAGCAAAAUCAGUUUUGGGUAGGAGCAAAAGGUGUAUUUUGCACCGGUUUUAGAAAUUAGAGGGGUUAAAUAAACAGUUAGUUAGUUUAGGGGGUUAUCCAAACUUUGCUCAUAGCUUAGGGUAGUAAUUUGGACUUUUUCCUUAAUUAAACAAUGUUCCAAAAAAAGUAAAAUGCACUAUAUAGUGCAAAUUAGUACUUACAUUGCUUGGCAUAAACUUGUCCUCCUCUUUAAUACCUGGAGGAAGCGUAAGGCCUAUCAUAUCUUUUGCCUGUAUACCAACUCGAUAAUGCCUGAACAUUGGUUCUGUACUGUCAAACUCCUCGGACGAGCAAUUUGUUUCGAUAGACUUCACCACUGCAUUUUGCUGACGUGUCAACUCUUGAUUGCCAUCAGAUUCUUUAGCUGUACAGAAUUCAUUGGAAACCCCAUCAGAUUUGAUACACAGUAAGUUUAUGAUCAUCGUGGCAUGUUAGUGACGCAAAAUCCUAAAAGAAUACAACGAAUCUUUUUUGUUUGAACUAGCGUGCUCAUUAGGUGUAUGUGCGCUUCUUUUUCCUGCCUUGACAGAGACAAGUGGAGACUUGUAUUUGACUGGAGUUACUUUUUUUCUUCGGUUUUGUUUCACUGAUGCUGCCACACUCUUUCCUGAAUCCUCUUUUUUUUUCCACUGUUCUUGCUUGAAUUCGCAGUGCUAUAAUUCAGUUCAUCGUCCUCGUCGCUAGCUACCGGGGUAUCAGAUUCAGAGGUGGUUGCACUGCCAUCAAACUGAAAGGGAACAAGUACUCAGAUUAAAUGAAGGUGGCACAGUGGUGAUGACAAUCUACAUAGUAGAUUAACUGAUACAUACACCAAAUAGGAAUCAAUCACAGAUGUGGGGGAACUGGCGAACUGCUCUCCAUGGAGGAUGGAUUUGCGGGUUGGACGUCCAUGAGGCGGGUUGGACGUCGAUAAUGGAUCGUCCCAGCGCUUUGCCGCCGCCUGUUGAGCGGCGGACCUGUUGCCCGGUGGUGGAUGCGCCGUGAAAGGGUUGCAGUUCGGCGUAGCUGUUGCGCGGCGACGGAUGGCCGGUGAGAGGAUAGCGGCUCGGCGGCGGAUUGCGCGGUGAAAGGACUUCCCUGAGCUGCGGCGUCUAGAUGAGUAGCGAUGAUGAGGAAAACGGCGAGGGGGAGAGCUGACGCGUGAUUGUGCUGGCCUGGGCAUUUGGACUGGACAGGGCUUGGGCAGAAUUAGGGCACGGGUAGGGCCGGGUCCAAACAGGACCCAGGCGGGAAUUAAACACAAUGAAUGACGUGGCUGCUUUAAAAUUCGUGCUAAUUUUUUGGGAAGGACCACCGGAGCACUUCUCAAGGUAUAAUUUGCAUAGGUAUAGAUAUAGGAAGAAAUUUCGAAUCUUGGGGAUUAUUUCUUCAUUUUCUAAAUAGAAAGGUCAAAUACUCUCUUUUGUCAAGGAUAAAUCAUUUGCUUCAUUUGUUAAUUACUGGAUUAGCUUUGUCGUUUGAUUGGACUCGUCGAUCCAAUAGACAGAAAAGAUGACUUAUAUGGUGAGAAGAAAAAUACAAGUCACCAUAAAUAUAGAUAAGACAUUCUCUUUCGAAGCCUGUUACUAGGGCUUUAACAGUUUGAAUAUUUUUCUCAUAUAGCCAAGGUUAUUAUUCUAUUUAUGAUGUUUUUAAAGUUGCCUAAGAGUUUUAUAGUCUAGUAGUUUAGAUAAUCUCCUAGGAGAAAAUAAAUAAAUUAACAAUAAAAUAUCUCCAACCAAUAUUUUCCAACAAAAGGCAUUACACCAGCUGGGGCGAGAAUGGAAAGGGAGCUGAUGCUCCCCUCACUGUAUCCGGAAUUAACUUUUUAUUUUUAAAUAUGUCACCCCGGGUGACAGAAUGAGCAAGAACAAAAGAAUUAGACUUCGACCGAAGGCAUGAGGAGACUAUAAUCAGGAGUACAACUGGACCACUGCUAGUUCUCCUUAAAAUGAAUGAAUAACCAACGAAUUCAGAGCAAGCCGGGGCGUGAGUGGAAGGGGAAGUGAUGCAUCACGAUGGGGGGAGCCUUCUGAUGAUCCCUCUUCUUCCUCUCUUUCCUCCCUGCUGCUGCAACAUCGCCCGGCUCACCUCCCAUCUUCUUCUUCUCCUCUGCUACUACCCGCUGCUGCCGCUUCGCCUCUGGACUACCUUCUACUCCUCCUGACUGCUUCCCAGCUGCUGGAGACUCCGCGACGACGGCUACACCGCCAAAGCAUCCUCCCAAGCCCAGCACCAUGAUCUAGCUCUUUGUCAAACACCUAAACUUCUCUCGGCUUCGGGUGAUGGCGUUUGAAAGUAGAAACUCCAAUCAAAUUUUUGUCUAGUCGAUGAUCUUGUUGUGCUUCGGCUAUGAGUGCUCGUGGUAUUUAUAGGGAUCGCCGGUAGAGCUGCGUGGGUGCUUUUGUUAUGCGUGAAGGAGGCCUGAAGAAGCUUCGUCACGUGAAGAAUCUGUUGACUUGUCUCCUCAGAACUCGCUGAGAAGGCUGGUGCAUGGUAAUGCUGACGUCCCCUCUCCUUGGCCGCCAAGGCUCUGCUUCACUUGACCCGCCAGGUAAGCUCGUCAGUGACCAGUCAAACCAACACGUGCUUUGGGACCGAUUUCACUAUCGAUAGAGAGAAGUGAGGAGAUUUCUUGUGUGCUGUGAUCGGAGAAGAGACGAAAACCGCGCUGUCAAGUGAAAAAGAUCAGAGUCACUGACUAGUGGGUUUGGUCGUUAACCUGCGACGCAUAUAAUUUGUUCCACUGCUUUGUUUAGUUUAUCGCCUUGAAAUGGGUUAAAAUUAUUUAGAAAAAUUUGUUCUGACUAUGGGGUGCGUGGAGCGGACUUAACUUGGCCUGGGAAUGUUCUCUGUAGCCCACGACACUACGGGAAUCAGAAGCUUUGCCGAGUGCCACAGGCACUCGGCGAAAGCCCAAAAAUACUCGGCAAAGGCUUUGCCGAGUGUAAUACUCGGCAAACAGCACACGGCAAAUUUUCUGUCGGCAAAGCUUAGUUUACCGAGUGUCAAAACGCGAGCACUCGGCAAACAUUUUGCCGACGGCCAAAAAACACUCGGCGAAAAGAUGUACUCGACGAAAUAUGCGAUGGCGGCGUCGGGUUUAACGGCAGGUUUGCCGAGUGCCAGACGGGAGGCACUUGGCAAACACCAGGGCUUUGCCGAGUGUCAGCACUCGGCAAAGUGCCCAUGUUUGCCGAGUGUCAGCACUCGGCAAAGUGCCCAUGUUUGCCGAGUGUCAGCACACGGCAAAGCCAGGGUGUUUGCCGAGUGUCGUGUCCCUGACACUCGGCAAACAUGGGCACUUUGCCGAGUGCCGUGUCCAUGACACUCGGCAAACAAGCCGCGGCUCGACCUGGGAGUGGCCCCUUUGCCGAGUGUUAAAGCCAAAACACUCGGCAAAGGCCCCUCUUUGUGCCCAGAACCCCCCCUUUUCUGACAUUUUGCCACGUAUAACGGACCCCUCUCAAUUCACAAUACACAUAUCACAGGCAUUUGUAAUAAACAAUUGCAUGCAUAAUUCACAACCACAGGCAUAAUUCAUAAACACCACAGGCAUAAUUCAACAUAAGCACGAAACAAUCCAUAAAUCCAAGUUCAAGUCACAAUUUAGUUUCCACAUUGUUCACAACCAAGUCUACUUCCGUGGAGGCCAAGGAGACCACUGCGACAAAUCUUGAUCUUCAUUAUUCGAAGCCGCUGAUUGAUUCUGCACAUAGGAUAGGACAUUCUAAGCUAACAUCUAAAGUUGUCAAAUUUAAAGUAUUGAAUCUUAAGCACAAUGUGUCAAGUGACUCACAGGAGUAGUUGUGGGUGGCUGAGGCGGAGGGAACAUCAUCAGCGGUGGCGGAGGCAAAGACUGUCCCAUGCUCGAAGUAAAGUUCUGCAUGUACUGGAACAUCUGCUCCAUCCUAAUCCGGUUUUCCUUCUCUAUCCUCCGCCACAUUUCCUCCAUCUGCGCCGCCAUCUCCUCUUGUUUCUUCCUUGCUUCUUCCACCUGGGCCUACAAUAUUUCAUUGCAAUGUUAUAAUGCAAAGCUAAAGUAUAACAACAAACGAACGAUGAAUGGAAGAGAAAGAACCUGUAGAGCCUCCAUCUGGAACUGUGCAGCGGUGGGUCGUGGCCGUAUCGCCAGGCUCGAGUCCGUGCUCCUAGCUCGGAUCUGGGAGAGAGUGGGAGUAGAGGCCGUGUCGAUGACGCCGUCGCUAAUCCAAUAUCGGCCAUGCUUCUUGCCUCCUCCCACCCUCAUCACGAUUUCUCCAUCAAUGUCCUCGGAGCUCGGAUCGAAGUCUGGCCCGUGAACCUCCCUAGCCAUCUUUGUGUACUCGCUGACGCGGCUGUGUAUGCUAAGGUGGCUGUACGCCUCGGACGGGUCGUCUGGGUUGAAAUCUAUAUCGGCCGUCGCCUUGUCCUUUUUGGAGAGGACCCAUGCCUUGAGCUGGGAGCAAGGUUGGCCAUCAUGUGACACCGACUGCGGCAAAAUACAAAAUCAUUAAAAAUUACGUAGAACUAAAUGUUACAAUAAAGAAUUGAAGUUGCGUACCCAUUUUUCUCUAUAUUCAUCAAGGCUUAGGCUGCCUUGAUGGUGUGGUGCAGUCGGCAUUUGCAAACGCCGCUGCCGGCAAGCAAGGUGGUUCUCCAACCACCCGGACUCCAACCACACGUCAACCAUCCUCUCCCAGCACGGCAUAUGCGCACGACACCACCACGGAGGCACCUACAUCAUCAAGCGUGUGACAUAUGAAAAAGAAAAUGAGCCUAAUUAAUCUUAAAUAGUAAGCAUCAACGUUCUUUACUUACCCUCAUGAAUUGGUCCUUAGUCAUGUUCAUUGUUCUUGCCUCCUCUUUUCUAACCUUCAUCUGUCUGUAUUGAGCGUGGAAUUCGAUGAUGGCCUGGAUGCGUGCCUCGUAAUGCAUGUCCUUCACGAGCUUCUUGGCGGCUACAUCACAGACGGCCUUCGCCUUAGCCUCGAACCUCUCCUGGCAUCUAUAGAAGUCCUGCAUAUACACGCGUAUACAGUUAUUAUUUCAAGAAUGUCGAAAGUAGGUGAUGUAUUGAGCAAUUUAGUACGAGGAGUACUUACCCACAGCUCGGCCUUGAUCCGCUCCGCUAUGUUGGGGAAUCUUCUCUGUUGACGAUCAGGGACGUCGGGGGCGACGACGUAGUGGUCCCAAGUGUAGGCCGGCUGCUGCUGUCCGGCGUACACCACCAAGCCAGGGAAGUGAACCCUGCACAAAAGGCCAAGGAUCCCGUUGGCCUUACGGUUGUGGUCACCCCCACUGAGCUUAAUCCAACUCCUGCACAAGUCAUUAAUAUGAAUUAUUAGUUUUUGUAACUUUCAACAUAAGAACAAUAUUAAGAAUAUUUAAAGUUACUUACUUGGUCCCAACCGGUUUAAUCAGCGACGUAAAUGCUCAGGUAUCGGCCGCUUCGGGAGGGAUGAGGGACCUCGCAACCAUAUCUUGGACUGGCCAUCCCCUGCCUCCCCGUCCCCCUCCUGCUCCUGCUGCUCCUCCUCCUCCACCUCCUCCUCCUCCUCGUCCCCAGAGGCGUGUGCGGAAGGUACCUCCUCCUCCUCCUCCUCCUCCUCCUCCUCCUCCUCCUCCUCCUCCUCCUCCUCCACCUCAGGUUCAGGCGACGGGGGCCUUGCCACUUUACCCUUCCCUCGAGGCCUCUGGACCACCACCUCCUCCUCCUCCUCCUCAACUCUACAUCGAGGCCUGCCUCGACGCCUCCCUCGACCGCUCCCUGAACGUGACCCUGACCCUGAACCAGUCCCUGACGCGACCAGUCUCUCGCAAAUCGACGUGAGCUUCCUCAUACUGCCCACCAUUGCUCAAUGACCUGCAAUUAAAAAGAGUACAUGAGUCAGCAUAGGCAAACAAAACAUAAUUACAAAGAUAUGCAAAUUAUAAUUAAAUUAUAACUAAAUUAGUACGAAUCAUACAUGUAUUAGAAAUAAUCAUCAUGAUCGGGAUUUGUGGAUCAUAAGUCUCAUCAUCACUAUCACGCGUGUCGAUAUAGUCAAGCUCGUGCUCCGAAGAAGGAAUGUCGUCAUCACUGUCAUUAGCUAACUAUAAUCGUUGAAGUAAUUCUAAGUCCUUCACAUUCUAAACCUCGUCUCCACCGUCCUCUGCAGCAACCCUCUCGUUGUCUACUUCCAUUCCGAUCGCUUCGGUUAAAUCUAUCACAAAACUCCCUUCGAGCCCAUCUUCUUGGAAUAACUCUCCUUCGUACGUGUCGGGGUCUAUAUUGUAAUCUUUAUUGUUUGGUACAGGUAGUUUACCGUGUGGGGAUACCUUGUACACAACAUCCCAACCCUUAAGACGGCUGUCGGUUUGGCACGGGUAUGACAAAUAAUAAACUUGUGUGGCCUGUUGAGCCACAAUAUAGACAUCGUCUCCUGGUAACCUGGAUGACUGUCGAAUUUCGACUAGCCCAAGGUUAGGGGCCCGUCUCACGACAGAUGGAUCAAACCAAUGGCAUUUGAAUAUAACUGGAUUAAGAGGUUUGCACCCAUGAAAAGUGAGUUCGUAUAUUUCUUCAAUUCUUCCGUAGUACUCGACCCCAUCGGAGCCUGGCGUGAAAACUUUGGUAUUUGUGGUUCUUCGAUUGGGCUGACUCUGCUCGUGCCUUGUUGUGUGAAACCUAUAUCCGUUGACGUCAUAACCGGCAAACGACCUGACCCUAUAGUCAUAGCCAUCGGCAACCUGUCUCAACUCGACAUUCAUAGACGCAUCGGUUCGGCCCUGCAAGUUCAAACAGGGCGGUUCGUUAUAUUAAUCGUAUGUACGAGAACGAGAAUGUUCGAAGAAAUGAAAUUGUACCUUCUGUUUGAACCAAGAAAUGAAAUCGGGCAUUCCAUUUCCCGCACCCUCUUUAAGAAGAGUCUCAGCUUCGUGCGGGUACGGUUGCCUUGAUUUACGCCAGAAUUGACGAUGAAAUUGCCUAUAGCAACGAGAAAGAUACGUUUAGGCAAGAGAUACCAUGACUACGUCGAAACAAGUUUGUGAGAACUUACAUCAUGUACGGCUCCACUUCAGAUAGGUUGGUCAACACAUACAGCAUGAUAGAGCGCCACUCUUCAUGGUUUAGGGUCUUGCGAGUUGCACCACUUGCACUUCCGAGUUGCCCUCGGAAAAUGCUAAGGCUUAAUUCAUAUUGGCUGGCAUUGUAACAAGGAGGUGGAUUAUGCACGCUAGGAAGAUUGUCAGCGUAGUAUUUCGAUGUGAAGUUUGACACCUCCUCCAGAAUGUAUGCCUCUGCAAUGGAUACUUCAAUUUUGCACUUAUUCUUACAUUUAGUUCGAAGAACCUUUUGACAUCUCUCAAUUGAGUAGCACCAACGACCCUGCACAGGCUCCCCCAUUCGUGCUUCAUACGGGAGGUGUAGAAUCAUAUGCUGCAUUGGAUUGAAGAAGCCUGGAGGAAAGAUCUUCUCCAACUUACAGAGCAACACAGGCGCCAUUGUUUCCAUUUCUGCAACCACGGUACGAGAUAACUCCUUCGCACAAAGACAGCGGAAGAAAUUGCUCAACUCCACUAGCACCUGCCACACAUGCUCAGGGACAUAGCCUCGAACCAUCACUGGAAGUAGGCGCUCAAGCCAUAUAUGGUAAUCAUGACUCUUGAGCCCGUUGAUUCGCAUAGUUGUUAAAUUCACUCCCCUCUUCAAGUUCGCUACAUAGCCAUCAGGGAACAUUAACGUUUGGAACCAUUCUAGAACCUCCCUCCUUUGGGCCCUCGUCAGAACGAAAUCGGCCUUAGGCUUCCUCCACGACUUGCCAGCUCUUGGAGGCGCCAUGUUUAGCUGUGGUCUGUUGCACAAUGUCGCUUGAUCCACUCUAGCCUUAACGUUAUCCUUUGUCUUGUCAGGAAUGUCCAUUAUUGUACCAAAAAUUGCCUCGGUGAUAUUUUUUCCAUGUGCAUUACAUCAAUGUUAUGUGGAACAAGAAGAUCAUCAAAAUAGGGAAGCUUCCACAAGCACGACUUCUGCGUCCAAGCAUGUUGCUCGCCAUAUCCCAAAAAACCACCUUCUUCAUUAUUGACUUCGAGAGCGUCUAACUGAGCACGAACUGCGGCCCCUGUCAUCAUCGGUGGUGCAGGGGCUGUAACUACAACAUCUUUGGUAAAGUUCUUGAUGUCUCGUCUAAAUGGAUGGUCAGGAGGGAGGAAUUGUCGAUGUUUGUCGAACGAAGAAUAUUUGCCACCUUUCGACAACCAAAUGAACUUCAAAGAUGCUUUACAUACUGGGCACGGGAACUUCCCGUGAACACACCAUCCGGAGAAAAUCCCAUAUGCCGGCAAGUCAUGCAGUGAGUACUGGUACCAAACAUGCAUCUUGAAGUUUGUCUUUGUGGAUCGGUCAUAUGUCCAUACCCCUUCCUCCCAAGCACGGAGCAAAUCAUCAAUCAGAGGCUCCAUGUACACACUCAUAUUAUUCCCCGGAUGCUCUGGAAUUAUCAACGACAAGAAUAUAUUAUGUCGUUGAAAUAGGACGCCGGGGGGGGGGGGGGGGGAGAUUCAGGGGGAUAACGAAAAUGGGCCAACAGGUGUACGGGGCGGCCGCCAUUCCAUAAGGAUUGAACCCAUCAGUUGCCAACGCAACGCGUACGUUACGGGCCUCUAGAGCUUUUCCAGGAUAAAUCGCAUCGAAGCUUCUCCAGGCUUCAGCAUUAGAUGGGUGUACCAGCUUCUCAGGAUUAUAGCGACGGCCAUUUUUGUGCCAUGUCAUCUGUUUCGCGGAUUCUUCAGUCAUGAAAAGCCGUUGGAUCCUCGGUAUGAAAGGAAGAUACCGUAGAACCUUCAUAGGAAUUGCGAGCUGCUUUUUCUGACCGUCACCACAGUCUACCUCCAGAAACCUAGACGAUUCGCACUUCACACAGUAUUUUGCUUCCGCAUACUCUUUCCUAAAUAAGAUGCAUCCCUUCGGGCAAGCAUGUAUAUGCUCGUAUGGCAUCUUAAGUGCACGAAGGAGUUUUUGUGCCUCAUACAUGCUCUUUGGCAAGAUGUGACCAACCGGGAGUAGGCUUCCAAAAACUGUCAACAUAAUAUCAAACGCAUCUCAACUCAAACUAAACUGAGACUUCACAGCCAUUAGGCGUGCAAUGGCAUCUAGUUGAGAAACCUUGGUAUGGCCGUGAAGGGGUUGCUGUGCUGCAGACAAUAUUUCGUAAUAAGCCUUAGCGGUAGCCUCUGGCUCCUCCUCCCUACGUGCUUCUUCGAAGUGUGCUUGAUGGUAGUCAUUUAACAUGUCUCCCACCCCGGCAUCAUCAUCAAAUUCCUCGAUGCGUUGUCUCAGGACCUCCUCUCUCCCACGGUCUGAUUCACCAUGGUAGAUCCAUCUGGUGUAGUCUGACGUAAAUCCGUUCUUCACAAGAUGUUUGCCCAUGUCUAGCUUGGUUUGCCGACGCAUGUUUUCACAUUUGCUGCACGGACACCAAGUCGAUCGAGCUCCUUUGACACUUGCAAACGCCCAUUCCAAGAAAGCAUCCGUCUUGUCAAUCCAUUCAUUGGUCAACGUAUUCUGACUACUGCGACCCGUGUACAUCCACUGACGAUCCUCCAUCCUCUACCAUUUAAGCGAGUAAUACAAAAUUCACAUUACAUAUACACGUUCCUAUAUUGUCUACUAGGUAAAGAUAGGUCCUAAUCCCACCCGAGAAUGUGUAGGUGGGUUUAGUAUCCAUGGUCUACUCCGACCCGAGAUAAAAUUUCAGCAGCACCUCCCCGCUGUUCUCCAAAUACACGUCCUUGACAGGAGAUUGUGUAUCUGGAGAACAACAGGAAGGUGCUGCCGAAACUCUAUCUCGAACCGGAAUAUACCAUGGAUACUAAACCCACCUACACAUCCUCCGGCUGUCCAAAAAACGUGGACAAUUCGAAACAGAUACGAUUAUAGAUAUGCAAAGAUCUGCAUAUUUCCAAAUGUUCGAACGGGAGACGCCUAACUAGGUUACAUGAUAUACGAACAUUAUACGGAAAGAGAGGUGUAGCAUGCCUCACCUUGCUAUCCUGCAAAGUGAUGAGUCGAGGACGGUCCUUGUAAGCCUCUCCUGCAACAAAAGAAACAGAGCACUGUUUAAGUCAAAAUUUCGGCAGCAACUCCCAUGCACGGGGAGGUUUCCAAAACCUGCAACAUAAUAAACGGCACGAUAGCCGACAACCACAAUCUCACCAAAGAGUUGGCACGAUGGCCAACAACCACAACCACAACCAACCACACCUCUAUUCUUUUCAACAUUUUCUAAUUUCCACUCUUCCUUCUUCUCUAAUUUUCUAAAUUCAUGCCUCUAAUUUCUAAAAUAAAUCCUACCACAUCCUACCACCUCUCUAGUCUUUUCAACAUUUUCUAAUUUCUAAUUUCAUGCCUACUCUAAUUUAUGAUGUGUAGCGGCAUAGAAACUUACCGGAGGGGUGACGGAGGGGCGACGGCCAUGAACAGAGGAGCGGGGGCGGCCGGGGGCCGGUGCGGCGGCCGAACGGGGCCGGCCGGGGCCGGCCAGAGCGGACGCGGGGGGCCGGCGCGGGCGGCCAGGGCCGGCCGGAACGGGCGCGGGGGGGGGGGGGGGGGGGGGGGGGGGGGGGCGGGGCCGGCCGGAGCGGGCGCGGCCGCCCAUGGCGCGGGGCGGCCGGCGGCGGCGCGGGGGAGGCCAGGGGGCCGCGGCCGGCGCCCGGGUCCCGGCGCGGGGCGGCGGCGGCGGCGCGGGCGGGCGGCGACGGCGCGGGCCGGGCGGCGGAGCGGGCGUGGGGCGGCGGCGCGGGUGGGUGGCGUGGGGCGGCGGAGCGGGCGGGGGGGCCGCGGCCGGCGCCCGGGUCCCGGCGUGGGGCGACGGCGGCGGCGCGGGCGGGCGGCGACGGCGCAGGCCGGGCGGCGGAGCGGGCGCGGGUGGGUGGCGUGGGGCGGUGGUGCGGGUGGGUGGCGUUGGCCGGGCGGGCGCGGGCGUGUGCGUGUUGUGACUGCUGUGCCGGUCCGCGUGAGGUGCGUGAGGCUCUAAGUGAGGUGGGGGCGCCCGCUUUGCCGAGUGCUCCUGAUCUAGCACUCGGCAAAGCCUUUGCCGAGUGCUAGAUCAGGAGCACUCGGCAAACAAUUUUUUUUUGUUUGAAAUUUUUUUUCGGAUUUCAAAUUGCGGCUGACAGGUGGACCGCGGCGACGUUUGCCGAGUGCUAGAUCAGGAGCACUCGGCAAACAAUUUUUUUUGUUUGAUUUUUUUUUCGGAUUUCAAAUUGCGGCUGACAGGUGGACCGCGGCGACGUUUGCCGAGUGUCCCAGGGUUGACACUCGGCAAAUAGGCUCUUUGCCAAGUGCCAUCCCGUGACACUCGGCAAAUAGGUACUAUUAUUUCAUGUCCAAACUGGUUUUAUUAAUUAAAAGUAUGUAAAGUUUGCAAAAACCUAGUCAAAUUCACUAAACAUUGCGUAUUUCAUUUUUUAAGUAAUAUUAUUCCAUUAUUUCAUGGAUUCAUAGCUCAUAUUAAAUUUAUAUCUAUUAAAUUCAUAUACGUGCAAUUAAUGAAUAAAAAUUACCAAACGGAUCCGAAAAAUUCCCAAAAAUUGACAUGAACCAAUCUAUGUUCUCUAUGGUCUAUAAAAAUAAAUUUGAACUCAAUCACAAAUUUAAGUAUCGAUUCGACUCAAAAUCUUACCGGAUCCUUCCAACUUCUACGAAUCCUCUCCGGAGAUGCUUCGAAUUCUAAGCAUCAUAUGUCAAAACUUGUGCGAAACCUUGUCAAUUUUUUACCACAGCCUCUGCAUAUGAAAUCAUAGCAUCUUGCAAAAUCUCGUGAUUUUCAAACUUCGUUUGUAUUUUUGAGAAUUAAACAAUCAUUUGGCCACACGUUCGUAGUCGUGUUUCCUUAACAAAAAGUUCGAAAUUUCUUUUCAUUUUCUAGGUAAGACCUCAAUUUGGACUCACUAACAUGAAUAUGAUUUUUCCAGUCAUAUUAUUCUAUUAUUCCAAACACCUGCAGUUCAAAUUUGACUUAAAUCAACAAAUUACUCUAAAUGAAAUUAAUUGAUUAAAUAUAGCAAACAGGUCAAUAAGAAGUCCACCUUGUACCAUGCAGUGCCAAAUCUCAUACAUGUGGAGUAUAAAAAGUUUGGAGGACGGAGGAGAUUUUUUUUUUGCCGAGUGUGCCAAAAAACACUCGGCAACCCCCCCAGGUUUGCCGAGUGCCACAAGGGACACUCGGCAAACUAGCAUCUUUGCCGAGUGCCCCAUCGAGACACUCGGCAAACAUGGAGUUUGCCGAGUGCCCCCCGUCGACACUCGGCAAAGCCUAACGUCCGUCACGGCAACGGCACAGCGCGGCACGUGGAAGUCACGUGCUCAAGACUUUGCCGAGUGCCCCGUGGGUGUUUGCCGAGUGUUUUUUUGGUGGCACUCGGCAAAUCAUGUUUUCGCCGAGUGUAUUAUUUUUGCCGAGUGUUUCUACGAUUGCACUCGGCAAACGGGGCCUUCGCCGAGUGCUCGCAAUAAUACACUCGGCAUAGCAAUUACACUCGGCGACUUUGAGGUUUCUUGUAGUGCGAUAUGGCUAUAGCUAAAGCACAAAAGUUACUUCAUGGUCGAUCGAGCAAAUAUUGGAAAUUGAUAAAGUCACAGUAGUAGAGAAUUGGCUUUCGAUGCACCCCCUUUUGUUCCGGUUUAAAGUUGACCCGAGACAAAAGGUUCACCAACCGGGACUAAAGCUCGGUCACUGGUGGGGGGCUCACCAACCGGGACAUUUUAUCCCGGUUGCAAAGGCUAGUGGGAAAAAAAGACCCUGAGAGGCCUUUUAUCCCGGUUUGAAACACCAACCGGGAUAAAAGACCCCCCUUUUAUCCCGGUUGGUAACACCAACCGGGAUAAAAGGGUCGAGAGCCUUUUAUCCCGGUUUGUAAUACCAACCGGGAUAAAAGGGGAUCAUUUAUCCUGGUUGGUGUUUCAAACCGGGAUAAAAGGAUCCCCAAAGAGGUGACUGAAAGAGGACUAAAUCCCUCGAACCCUUUUAUCCCGGUUUGUAAUACCAACCGGGAUAAAAGAGGGUCUUUUAUCCCGGUUGGUGUUUCCAACCGGGAUAAAAGGGUCCCCCACGAGUUAAUACAAAAGGAUAGCAUCCCCUACAUAGUCAGAUGUGGUGUGUAGGUGGGAUGGCAAGGAAGCUACGCGCGAGGCUGGAGGUUGCGUGUGACACCCGGCCCAAUUUGGUUGGCCCAGUGUGGCCCAUUAGCUCAGGUGCUCAUGUUUAGUACCACAUUGCUAGUUUAGCAAGGAUGGAGGCAACUUAUAAGCCUUCGUCAACCAGCCAUAGCACCUUCGGGUUAACCCUUUUACACGAAGCGAGGACGAAAGUGUAAGCAGGGUGCUAUGUGUACGCGUGCCCGCCCCUCGGAAGGGUUGGGCGGUGCGGCUUUGGAGGACGGGGUGUUACAAAUGGUAUCAGAGCCGACCCUUGCGGUUGUGCGUACGGGUCAGUGUGCGGGCAUAUGGCGCAUGGCGCGUGUGGGCCUGAGAUGGGACACACGGCAUGGCAUAUUGCGCCGGCACUGGACGUACGGUCGUGCGCUUAGAGGGAACGUUCCUGGACAUUUUCCCAUGCGUGGGUAAGUUGGACCGACGAGGACGUCGGGUUCUUUGAGGGGGGGGGUGAAUGUGACACCCAGCCCAAUUUGGUUGGCCCAGUGUGGCCCAUUAGCGCAGGUGCGCAUGUUUAGUACCACAUUGCUAGUUUAGCAAGGAUGGAGGCAACUUAUAAGCCUUCGUCAACCAGCCAUAGCACCUUCGGGUUAACCCUUUUACACGAAGCGAGGACAAAAGUGUAAGCAGGGUGCUAUGUGUACGCGUGCCCGCCCCUCGGAAGGGUUGGGCGGUGCGGCUUUGGAGGACGGGGUGUUACAUUGCGCGUGUGGGGGGCCUCCUGGGAGCAUGAGAUUUCUUUUUUUUUCGGCGCCUGGCGUGGUGACCCGUUUUAUCCCAGUUGGUAAUAACAACCGGGACAAAAGGGGGGUUAUUUUGUCCCGGGUCACUAUUUUCGGGAGAUUUGCACCCUACUAACCGGGACUAAAGGCUAAUUCUCUACUAGUGUCAUUUUCGUCUUCCUCUUUCCAAAGAAAGUUCCCAUCCCCUUUCAUGUAAUAUGCGUAGCUAAUUACACUGCGGACCGAGGUCUUGAAGAAGCAGGUAAGUAGCCCAGCAGAAGCGAGUCAGCAGGAUUCCACGUGGAAAGACUGCACGCGGGUCGUUGGGUUUCGUUGCAUGCACCACAUGAUGUAUGUAUGGAUGAUCCUGGAUGGUGGAGUUUAACCAAUAUACUUGUAUUAUAUGGUUCACUUCUAUUAGUAGAAUAAUAUAUUAAAUGGGAUGACUUCAUCCUAAAUGAGCCAAACGAAAAGAUAAAAGUCAGAUCGAUUAUAAAAAAUCAUUACGACACAGUCGGUUCUAUUCACGAAAUCGGCUCUAGCUAGCCUUAAAACAGUCACGACAAAUAGUUUUACAAGCAAAAUUACCGUUUUACUCUAAAAAUGCAUAACUUUUCAUACAAAUUUGGAUGGAGAUAAAUUUUAUAUUAAAGGGUAUCACAGGCGGACAUGAGGUUGCAGGUUCGAAUGCUAAUCAAAGUAUUUGUGCAAAUAUUAGGAUGAACAAGGUUUGAGUGCUGGAGGUGGCAGCGCAUAGCCACCUAGGACCUUCGAGUGCAAAAAAAUCUAUAUUUUUGGUGCCAAAAAUUAAUAUUUUUAAAGAUACUUCGUACAGAUAGAACCGACUAUACAAAUUACUUUUACAAUCGGGUCUCAAACUGUUAUUGUCGAUUGUACAAAUUACUUUUACAAUCAGGUCUGAAAUCGUCAGUACAAAUACUAUUUGUAAUGAAAGAUGUUUUUACAGUCGCUUCAAAAACAAUCAGUACAAAUGGUUUACAAACGACUGUACAUGUGGGUCGUGUAGUAGGGAACCAGACAAACAUGUUGUUGAUUAUAUUAAAAAAACACAGCCUGGGAGACCAAGUGACAAAUGAAAUAAAUCACUUCAAGCACCACAAAUGCUCAAGCUAUAGAUUGCUCUUCUCAGCUCUCUAAUGUUCACACAAGAUCACUCUCUCAUCCCAACUAUUAAAAAAACACAGCCUGGGAGACCAAGUGACAAAUGAAAUAAACCACUUCAAGCACCACAAGUGCUCAAGCUAUAGAUUGCUCUUCUCAGCUCUCUAAUGCUCACACAAGAUCACUCUCUCAUCCCAACUCAAAGAUUUCACAAGAAUCACUCAAGUCUCACAAAGAGAGGUUAGGGAGAUCUUUUCUGGUGACUAGAUGAUGUCAAAUGCAUGUGCAACCAGUAGCCCCUCAAGGAGGGGACCAAGAGGUAUGAAUACCCCCACUCACCAUAAACUAGCCAUUAGAGUUGCUUAAACUGGUCAGAUUAGUCAGACUGGUCUGGCUGAGUUACACUACAAUAAAUCUUAGGAUCUAUGACGACCUGUUAUUAUCAUUAUUUCUGGUAUUUUUGUCAUAGCAAAUGUAUUUAUGAUGACUGCAUGACGAUAAACUUUUUGCCAUAGAUUAUGCGUGGUAAACCUCGUUCUAUGACGACUGCAUAUUUUUUCAUCAUAAUUUUUUAUGAAGACCCCAUUAAAAAAUCAUCACUAAAUAUCUUAAGGUCUAGCUAGGCCAUGUACUAAGCAGAUUUUUAUUGGGCCAAAUAUAAUUGUGGGCCAAAUUUAUAAUUUGCAAAGCCCAUUUAUAUAAGUAAAAUUAACAUCAAUUUGGGUGCCAUUUUUUCUUUUGCAGCCUACUUAUUUAGUGGGCGAGAAAAGGCCUAACCCAUUUAAACUGGAAGACAAAACAACCAUUUCAAACAUUCUCUCUCGGUUCACCCACUCGUUGAAUCGACCAUUGUUAGCUGAGCUGGGACAGUUAGCACACUCGAGAGUUUUCUUAAGGCUAUUCUGACUUAGGUCAAUUAAGAGCACUUUUGGUGCUAUCAAUAAGCUAAUGUAGCAUCCCUCUUAAUAGUACGACAUACCUAUACUCAAGAACAAAUAUAAUCACAAUAUCAUCCACUUGAGCUUGUAAGUCUUUAUCAAUGCCAUACUUUGAUCAAUGUCAUCUUGAGGGCUCUCAACAUUGCUAUCAUCUUGAGCACAUCAAACUUAAUCUAGUAACUUGGACCAAUAUUCAACACAUAUGAAUGAAGUCCCUUUUUGGAUCCUAAGUUACCACUUUAUAUGACUCAAUAAACAUUUUAUGCAUCCCAUUGCUAUACUCGGUAAGACUUGACUAGAUACCUCGAAAUCCUCCAAGCACUAGCCACUUCACCCUAGCAAAGCUCAUGGCCCAAGUCACCACUUGGCCAAACUUCGCUUAGUACCUUGUUGUUAAUCCUUUGCUUGAUUUCUUCAUCCAAUCGUUACCACAUUGAGUCUAGCUUCGUUUUGACAUCAAGAAUGAAAUCCAUUUGAGAUCAUAUCUUCUUUUGACUUUAAUAUCCCAUUUGAAAUCCUCUUCAAAUGCUUCCUCUUGAUUGAUAAAAAAUCUCCCAUGAAUCGCAAGCUUCCGAUAACAAGACCAACGUGAAACACAUAAGCCCAUGUCCUUUUAUCAUAUACAUAUGAAGCCUUGCAAUGUCCAUUUGUGAAUACCACUAUUCUUUUCUUCAUGAUCCCUUCACUUGUCAAUCAAGCUAUCACAUAAUUUGGAGACUUAUAGUUCAACCAUGAAACAUAUCCUCAAGUUUCACUUCACCCUUACUUGUCAUUGAUCUUUCAUUUGCAUUAUGGGAUCACACACUUGCUUCUAUCUUCAUUGUGAGCCAUAUAAUACACAUUUAACACAUGAGAUAAUAUUACACCAUGAAUAUAAGAAUAAAAUCUUGCUCACAAUCUUAGGCAAACAAGUUAGUCCUUUAAUCAUUUUGUCAUUCAAUUCACAAAAAUCCACUUAGGGGCCUAAAUGCACUUUCAUUGGUCAGGUCUAAAAUGCACAACUAAACUUAUAGGUGGUUCCCAUGGACAAAAGAAUUUUAAAGUUACAAGUUGCAAGAACGGACAUGCAAUGCAUGGAUGCUCUUGAUGCCAAUCAUUUUUAGAGUGAAAAACGACAAGGAGAUACUGAUUUUGAGCUUAUAUUUACAUUUCCCAUGCCAUUGUUUUCACCUUCCCAUCAUUUUCACCUUCCUUCGCAACUAAGUUCAUCACACUUUACUUGCCAAAUCCUCUAUUAGUAAUGAGAGAAAGAUUACAGCAGCUGACGUGUCAGUUUAUUAGCACUACACUACAAUUGAAUAUCAACCUUUUUGAAGGUAACACUACUGGGGAAGCGCCUUUCAGUACUUGUUCCUAACUCCCCUUUAGUACCGGUUGUGCAACUGGUAUUGCUACUUCAAUACUCAAGUGGGACCUUUAGUACCGGGUCAAAUAACCGGUACUAAAGGGGUAUUAAAAAAAGAAAAAAAGAAAUCCUGCCAUCAUCUGCCGCACCCUCCCACCGCUCCUUGCUCGGUCGCCCUGCCCUCCCACUGCCAUCCGCUGCGCCCUCCCGGUCGCCCCACCCUCCUGCGCUCCUUGCCCGGUCACCCCGCCCUCCUGCCGCCGUCCGCCGUACCCUCACGCCGCUCCUUGCCCAGUCACCCCACUUUCCCGACACCGUCCGUCUGUCCGUCUCGCCCUCGUGCCACUCCUUGCCUGAUCGCCCCUCCACUGCACCUGAGCUAGCAGGUCAGUGUCGGGCCUCCCACCUCUGCCCUUGCCCCUGUCACAACCUUUGCCCCUGUCACCACCCUUGCCCCCAUCGCCACCCUUGGCCCUGUUGUGGGGGUGCUGAGAGAGAGAGGACAAAGAGAGAGGAAGAUAGGGGGGAGAAUAAGGUGGAUGGGAGAGGGUACGGGGGAGAUGGAUAAGACUGAUGGAGCGACGGGUACUAAAGGUUGGGAGCUCCUUUAGUACCAGUUGGGAGCUCCAACCGUUACUAAAGGUCACCCAUUAGUAUCAAGUGGAGCUUCCACUCGGUAAUAAUGUGCUUGAGGGCCUUUAGUACCGGGUGGAGGCUUCACCCUAUUCUAAUGGGUGAGUUUUAGUACCGGUUGGAGCUCCCAACGGGUACUAAAGGGUGUCAGGGGGUAACUGAGGAACUAGCUGUUAGACCCGGUGCUAAUGCUCACAUUAGUACCGAGUCAAAAACAAACUAGUACUAAGGGCUAGUACCAAUGCUCACACUGGUGGAAAACCUACCUUAGUCCCGGUUGGAUAGGGCCAUAGAUCCCAAAAAUCCAACCGGGACUAAAUUUUUGAGACAAAAGGGGGUCCUUUAGUCUUGGUUGUUACUUCCAACUGGGAUUGAAAAGUUAAAAAAAUAAAAAAUGCCCACUCCGCACCGCUCCACUCGCUCCGCUUCGCCGGGCUCGCGCCCGCCAACACUACUCCGCCCCGUGCAUCUCUAUCCCACUUGCUGUGGUCACCGGCAUGCGCUGUCACCUCGUUGCCGCGCCAUCGCUGAACGCCACAGAGAAGCACCAGGUUGGAGGGUGCCUCUAUGUGUGCAACCACCGCACCCUCCUGGACCCAAUCACCGUCGCCGUCGGUUUUGAACAAGCUCACUCCCACUGGCGCCGCUCCACGCCGUGCCUGACGGGCAACGCCGCUCCGCUCCGCGCCGAGCCCGCGCCUGCUGGCCGCUUGCUCGUGCCCGCGCACCGCUCAACCUAGAAGAGGAGAAAAGAUAAGGAAUGGGAGAGGAGGAGAGAAGAUAAGGAAGGGGAGAGGAGAUAAGGUGGAAAGAGAGAGUUAGGGGGGAGAUAAAGGCUCCGGGGAGGCAUUUAGUCCCGGUUAAAAAUAAAAUCAGGACUAAAGGUCCCCCUUUAGUUCCAGUUGGAAUUACCAACUGGGACUAAAUCGAGUUCCGGUUGGUAAUUCCAACCAGGGCUAAAGGGUUGGCCUUUAGUCCCGGUUGGUGUUUUCAACUAGGAUAAAAAGUCUCCUCAUCCCACUAGCUGUUACAACUGGGACUAAAGGGGGCUCUUUAGUCUCGGUUGAUAUUACCAACCGGGACAAGAGCCCCGUCGGUGGCCAUCGGUGGUGGAUAUUUGAUCCGGGACUAAAGGCACUUUAGUCCCGUGUCCAAAAUGAACCGGGAUAAAAGUUCCUGUUUCGAAGAUCAAUUCUCUAUUAGUGUCAGUUUUCCAGUAGUGUAUACAGCUGCAAAUCAGCACGACUCUUCUCUUCUCCAACUGGGGGAGCUUCAAACCAUCCUUCAACAAAAGGCAAUGUUACCAAUUGCCUUAUAAAAUGUUCCUGAAUCACUUGCACAAUCACACAUCCUGAAGAAACUGAACAACUACCAAAAGAUCAGACAAACCUGUACGGAGAUCAGAUAUGGUUUUGGAACUUUGCAGCUGCUUUGGAGCUGCUCCUGCGGCAGCGGCAAAGAAGGCAGCAUCUACACAGCAGUUAAAAAGCAACAGGCUCUGGGAGAUCAGGAAGCAUCUGGUGGCGAAGCAGGUGAGCCGUCCGCGGUUGAUCGGAGCAUGGUAGCAAAGGAGGAGGAGAGAGCUCCCUUGGUGAUGGUUCAUCAGUUACCAUUUCAUUCUCGCCCUGGAUUGAUGUGACUUUGUCUGGCUUUGGAUACACCCCGCUAAAGUUUAGCACCUGUCACAUCGGAUGUUUAUAUACUAAUUAGGAGUAUUAAACAUAGGCUAAUUACAAAACUAAUUGCACAGAUGGAGUCUAAUUCGCGAGAUGAAUCUAUUAAGCCUAAUUAGUCCAUGAUUUGACAAUGUGGUGCUACAGUAACCAUUUACUAAUAAUGGAUUAAUUAGGCUUAAUAGAUUCGUCUCGCGAAUUAGCACAGGGGUUCUGCAAUUAGUUUUCUAAUUAGCUCAUGUUUAGUCCUCCUAAUUAGCAUCCGAACAUCCGAUGUGACAUUGCUAAAGUUUAGUAGCUUAUAUCAAAUAGCCCUUCAGAAUGGUUUCAGGACAUGCAUAGGUUUACUUAUUUUAGACGCAUGGUUUACUUCUGGAUUUGGAUCUUGUAGAUUUAUCUUCUUAAUCCUACAGGAGACAGAUAAACAUGAGCAUUGAGCAGUAGGCACAUACCGAAAUCCCUGCCUCUCUGUAGCAAGUUCAUCGUUGUUUCCAUUCUAAUAAAAAGAAAAGGUCUUGGUUAUUUCGGUUCUUCAAGCUUCAAUGGUCACAAAUGUAUAAUUCCCUAUGUUAGCCUCAAAUAAACUUGAAACUUAUUUAUUUUAACUGUAAAUCCAAUCAUAAAAAAUUAUAAACAACUGCGUUAGUAAGAACAUUCCGUAAUUUUGUACUAUUAAAACCAACUUUUCACAGCGGACUACAUGGAAAACCUGUAGGAAAAUAUAUUCCGUCACUUAAGUAGGGACAUAUUGACUCUGUCGGCUAUAUGGCUAUGACUUUUUGUGUCAAUAAGAACUCUGUGCACAUCUACAAAAUAAUUGUACUCAAUGUCAUUUCUUAGAUAUCCUCCUUGCUGUAAGAUGAGUCUUUUUCAGAUAAACAUACUCUUCAGGAAAAUAUUCCUGACCAGUGACCACUAGAAAACCUUGUUUCUUGAAGAAUUGGUCUAAAUUUCAAGUUUUAACAAGUGUUGCUUUAAAAUUACUGUGGAAGAAUAUAAACUUGAUAUGCCAUUCGGAGAAAACCGUGAAGAAACUAUAGGAAGCCGGUCACGGGUGCGAAGUUUUUUCGGCGCUGCUAGUGCUGACGCUCCAACAAAAUAUUAAAAAUUACCUAGUGCAACAUCAGCGCUCAUUAUUUGAAACAUGAAAAGUAUGUGUAAAAAUGACUACGUCAUUCGACUUUGGGAUAGAAAAUUCCCACCGCAAUAUGGACACUAUGUUUCAUGCAACAUUCACCGUGAAACAUGCAGAAACAAUUUAAAUAAUUGCAACAUCGAUGCUUAACUAUUGCAACAUAUGUCGGAGCGUCCGAUUUUUUCAAGAUUAGCAUUACUGAAGUUUUUUUAAUAAAGUAGGGGAUUCUUGGAUUCUGGGUUAUUUUUAGCAAACUGGGAAGUUUCCCGCACCUCUUGAGCCAGAAAGAAAAAGGGUGUCCUAAGUAAAAAAGGGGUGUUCUCCUAUUUCUUGGCAUGUGCAGAUACUUUUUUUGGUGUUACAUCGUCCUACUGAGUGUGAAUCUAAUCCUGUGCUCAAUGGAUAGCUGAAAUCCGUCAUCACCUGAAUCUGGUGCCGUCACUAGUAGCUAGAAAAGAAAACGCAAAAAGCAUCUAGAAAAAAGUUGAUGAUGUGGCCGAGAGAGACGUGGCAGGUGCCAGCUUGGUAUGCCGCAAGACGAAGGCAACGAUUCGACCUCAUCACACAAAUACAACUCUUCCACAAGCAGAUUCGAAAUCGACGCACCAGAUUCAUCCGAUGAUGUGUCCCGUACCCGCAUCGACUGUCCUAACACGCAAGCGACCGAAACUCUCUUUUCUUUCAUGGACCCGUCAACUAUAUAGAGCCUGGAAUCCAUGUGUCGGGCCAGCACAGAACCUUACGAGUUUCGACCAACUCACCGUGUCAUCCUCUCGUGGCCGGCGAUGUCGUUUCUGGUGGACUGGCUCUUCGACGUGCUGGCGUCCCUGGGGUUCUGGCAGAAGGAGGCUAAGAUCCUCUUCCUCGGCCUCGACAACUCCGGCAAGACCACCCUUCUCCACAUGCUCAAGGACGAGGUCAGGUCCCCCCUACUCUUCCCUUCACUUCCACCACUCGAUCCCCGGCCAGCGCCGACCGGCGCUAACACGGUCGCUGCCAUCUUCUUGUCCUACGCAGACGUUGACCCAGCACGCGCCGACGCAGCACCCUACGUCGGAGGAGCUGAGCAUCGGGCGGAUCAACUUCAGGGCCUUCGACCUCGGCGGCCACCAGAUCGCGCGCCGCGUCUGGAAGGACUACUACGCCAAGGUCGACGCCGUGGUCUACAUGGUGGACGCCGCCGACGGCGGCCGCCUCGCCGAGUCGAGGGCGGAGCUCGCCGGGCUCCUGUCGGACGACGCGCUGGCCAGCGUGCCGUUCCUCGUGCUGGGGAACAAGAUUGACGUCCCGUGGGCGGCGCCGGAGCGCGAUCUGGCGUACUACCUCGGCCUCGCUGGCUGCACCACCGGCAAGGGCACCAUCGACCUCGCCGGCGUGCGGCCGGUGGAGAUCUUCAUGUGCAGCGUCGUGCGCAAGAUGGGGUACGGCGAGGGGUUCAGGUGGAUGUCGCAGUACAUCAAGUAGGUCAUGUGGGGGUCCAUGGUAUAUAUAUCUCUCGGUGUGCUUGUUGAAGUACUAUUAUUUAUUGUGCUCUCACUCGACCAAAUGUUCAUCUGAAUUUGUAUAUGGUGGUUUCAACGUACUUUUAACAUAGGAACCAAGUGGUCACAGUAUGUUUCAUUUCUAUCCAGACUUUGGACAUGCUGUCUCGCUCUUGUUUCAUCUUGUGGUGGUUGACUGGUAAUGAGCAACUGGUAUUCAAGGCUUUACAAUGUGAUGAGCUGAUGGAAACCAGAAACAAUAUAUACAUGGUAAUCUGGGCACCUUUGGAACUGAUCAACACGUUCGGAUUUGCUGCUAUAGUAGGCAAAGUUUAAGCCAUGUAGAACAAAUAUUUCAUUAAGAUUGGUGAGAGGACCCAACUCUGUUGCAUUAUUAAUUGCUGGAACCCAUAUUCCAAAUUGCUAGAAUCCAUAUUCCAAUCUGAAGAAGGUAACCUCUGUGUUUAUUGCAUGAUGGUAGUACCAGCGUUAAAAGCUCAUCACCAAAAAAAAAGACAUGAAGACCCAAGAUUGUAAAUAAAACAAGUGCAUUGUUCCAACUAUAAUAAAAUUAAAUAAAACCUCUAAAUAUAGACUAAUUUACAAUGCGCCUGCCGAGGAGUUCACCGGCAAUGCUGCCUCACUGACAUCAUUAGUGGGGAUGUUGUUCCAUGGUGAUGCAAGUGACCUAGCCGACAUCAAAAGCAAUGCCGGAGUGCGGAGCGCCGUUCACCAAUGUUGAUGUCCAACCACCUCCUCUUUGGGGCCCUCUCUUCCUCUUCAUGCACUUGCACCACUGCCUUGUACAUGGCCUCCACCACCGCCUCGUCCAUGCCCACCACUUCCGCAUCCACCACAACCACAUCAUCCCUAGCACCUCUAUCACCUCCUCCUGCACCAACUCCUCCUCUUCCUCCUUCUCCUCGUCCUCCCCAUCCCCACUUUUUUCCUCAUCCCUCCAAAUCAACAUUAUCAUCGCCACCAUUGCCAUCAAGCUCCAUCAACGCCAAAAACUCCUCAUCUUCGAGGGAGUCACGCUAAAACAUGUGGUCAUCGGAAGACAAAAUCAUACUCAUCACCUAUGUGCUCCUCAUACUCCUCGGAUGAGUAGUUGGAAAGACGAGUAGAAACCGAUGCCAUGGUAGUUGAUUUUGUUUUUUUGAGAAGGAAAAGUGAGUGCAAGUAGGGGUUUGUGGGAGAGGAUUGGUAUGUAAUGGCAUGCAAGUUAAAAGGGGGAAGUGAUGCAUCUAUUGCAAAUCGUCAGGAAUGGGCAACAAUGUUGCAGAAUUUGAUUUAGGGGAUUUUUUACAAAUGAUCUAAAGUAGAAGUACAUAACACUGGAGUAUUUCAAUUCAUAGGUAAAUCUGGUUGGGAAAAAAACUGAGCAGACAUAAACACAUUGCACACAAUCAUGGAGUAAGUUCAGGCAAUUCCACCAUAUUUAAAAAAGCAUAUAUUUACAAGAUACAAAGAUGAUGAUUUGCACAAUCUACUUGAGGUUUCUGAGGGCCUCCCAGUUGACAAAUUCAAGGUUGGUGACAUGACUCACAUAAUAGAAGAUGGCGACCUCAUUGCACCAGUGCCAUGUGUGUCAAUGAAGAUGCUCCACAUCUGCGUGGUAUAGAAGCACCGCGAAGACAAUCCUAGAGGUGUUAUCGUUGCCAUCUUGGAGUUCCAAUGGCUUAGCACAGCGCCAAUGUAGACCGCCAAGGUGUGUCAAUGCUCAUAGUGUUGCUGUUUGGUGACAUAGACUGCCACCAGUUCACCAUUGUCACUACAAUAGAUCCCCAUUGGAGUAGUAAGGUACUAUAAUUAGUGAGGUUCAGCAGCGAAACCGUGUCGAUGAUCCUAAAAUCCACAUGGAAAAAUUUAUAUCAUGAAACAUAUGAAAAAGCAUAAUUACAAACUUGGAGCACGGGUGAAUGAACAUGAACACAAUUAAUCUGAAAAGAGGAAAUGAGGAAUAUAAUACUUGCAUCGAGAGAAGAUGAGGAAGGGCUUGAGAAAGCAACUAACAUGAGAAGUCAAGGCUCGGAAGUCUCACUUAUUACAAAACUGCGUCUACCAUCCCUACCAAGCCUCCCUAUGUCUACGGGCCAUGGAGCAUGCAAUGUUGCAAUGUUCCUUGUCCUAGGAACUUCCUAUGAAAUGCAAAUAUGUAGUUAUGCCUAAACUACCUUUCAAAUGAUAAUCCUAUAUAGCAAGAAUGAAUUUCAAGGUGAAUAUAUUUGAACAAAAAUGGAGUCAAUGAUACGUUUUACUAGGUGUUACCACUGCCGUGCAUUCACUUUGCAUCACCCUUAUCUCCUAUGUCCAUGACUGUUAUUGACCAUUAAACCCCCUCUUCUUCUCCAUAGUCUACACCAUUGUUGACCACCACAAGUCCACCACCACACACAUCAAUGUAGAAAGAGGAACAGACUGUGUUGCUGGGUUCUUUGGAAUGUGGAAUGAUGCCACAUUCAUCAUCGAUGGGUCAUGGAACAAUGUCAAGUUACUGGUCAGUGGAAUGUGCAACACUGUCACGUUUGUCGUUAAGGGAAAUUGUCUAUCAAAUUUUUCUACAAAUAUGUAGUAGUUCAUAACUAUUGUCCAAAGGAUAAUACUAUAGAGAAAAAAUGAAUUUCAUAAAUGGAAUCUAGUUGAGUAAUAAUGAACCUUAUGGUGCAUUUUACUAGGCAUUCCAAGUAACAUGCAAUCAUGUGCGUUGAUGGUCGUUAAGUACCAAAUAUGACCGUCAAUAUACUCAAGAAUAAAGGAUGAUUGUCAUUUCUUACAUGCAUACUUGUUUUCGAAUAAUGUAGUUCCACUUGUCCUUGGAGAAUAUUUAGUUGCAGGUGAAAUAUUACAAAAGGAUGGAGAAAGCACACUCUAUGGAGCAAAGAAACACACUUCUAACCAAUGGGAGGUUGCCACAUGUGCACCCCAUGGACUGAAGGGCCCAUAAACUACCACAACUGCCUCAAUCCACUAGAUAACGCACACAACCGCCAUUGGGACCAACAAGGCAGUCACUCGGAGAAAGGCAGUAGUGAGGCGAGUCCACAGGAGGUCGGCCGAACCGUCCUUGCCUCCUCUUGUCUCUACUUCCACGUGGUGACUGUUGACGGUUGUUAAGUAUCAAAUAUGACCAUCAAUAUACUCAAGAAUAAAGGAGGAUUGACAUUUCUUACACGCAUAUUUGGUUUCGAAUAAUGUAGUUUCACUUGUCCUUGGAGAAUAUUUGGUUGAAGGUGAAAUAGCACAAAAUGAUGGAAAAAGCACCCUCUAUGGAUCCAAGAAACACACUUCUGACCAAUGGGAGGUUGCCACAUGUGCAUCCCAUGGAUUGAAGAGCUCACAAGCUACCACAACCACCUCAAUCCACCGGAUAACGCACAUAACCACCAUUGGGACCCACCAAGCAGUCAAUCGGAGAAAGGCGGUUGCGAGACGGGCCCAAAGGGGGUCAGCCGAACCGCCCUUGCCUCCCCUCGUCUCCAGCUUCCAUGUGGUGAUGGUUUAGGUCAGUUAAAGGAUAUUCCCCAAAAAUUCCCUAACAAAACCGCCUCUUGGAGCCUAUAAAUAUGAGGGGAGGGGCUCCAUUCUAGGACACACACACCACAAAUUGAAUUACUCUCUCCCUCUUAGUUUCCAUGUGAGUGGAGUUAGGCUAGAAUAGCUUUCCUUUAGGUUCCAGGUUUCCUUGGAGUCUAUGGUAUGGCUCUUGUAUCUUUUAUUUCUAAGUUGACUUUAUUCUAUUCUAAGUAUACAUCUUCCUUAUAUAGUGUUGUACUUGGUUCUAUACAUGAUUUGGUUGUAUACCCUAGAUAUAGUGAUAUGCUAGGCUUAUACGCUCGUAUGCUAGUCAUUCCCUUAUUAUCUUAGUGCAGGCUUAUAUACUCUCACGUGUGCUUAUAGACCUUGCUACAUGUUAUACUUUGUGUGCAUACAUAUAUUAUACAGGCUAGUUGAUCUAUGCUACGACAUCGGUUCUGUGGCUAUUUCCAUGGUGGCUUCAGCCAUUGACACCAUAGCCAGGAUGGUUGGAGUGUUGUUAACAAUGCAAGCAUGGUGCCUGGAUUGCUUAGCUUCAUUGGAUAUGAGUUUGCCCCACAGAUUGCUAGGGGUAGGCGACUGGUGGUGACAACCCUGUCUGUUUUUUGUAAUCCCCCACGUUCCAGUAUGCUGUAGGAGUUUGUAAAUUAGCAAUAACUACAUCGGCAGAUCGGUAGGGUAAUGUCUCCCCAUGUGUGCCUAGGUGCAUAGGCCUUGUCCCUAUACAAUGUGUAUGUAUGUUAUGUUUGUAUGAUCUGUGCAGUAUAUAGCAAGUACAUACGAACCUAGAGCUAACUCUUAGUCCUUCUCCCUAGCUUAGUUAUCUUGAAUGAUUCAUCUGUGUGUGUCACACUACUCUAUCCAUCAUUAUCUUACCCCUAUCUUGAGUAUUGUCUCUAUCCAUCUUAUGAUAUACCCAUAUGCAUAGUAAACUCUUUUGACCUACCCGCCUUCCUUUGGGAAAUAUGAUACCUUUGGAAAAACUCUUGGGUGAAAUGCUAUAAUGGUAUAUUCAUGCACUUGCAGAUUUAUUCGUGAUCGUUAAAUAUACCAACAAUGAUAGUUGAUGGGGCCCCUACGUCGGUUAUAGGAUAUUCCCCGAAGGUUGCCUGACAGAACCGCCUCUAGGAGCCUAUAAAUAGAGAGGCACCACCUCCAUUCUAAGACAUGCCACAAGUGAAUCAUUUUCAAGUCAGGGAAGUUAGGCUAGAGUAGCUGUACAUUGAGGUUCCAGGUCUUAUUGGAGUCUAGGGUAUGACUCUUGUAUCUUACAUUCCUAGGUUGACUUUAUUCUAUUCAAAAUAUUCAUCUUCUUUAUAUAGUGUUGUGGUUGGUUCUUAUAUGCAUGAGUUAGAUAUAUACCCUUGCUAUGUUGAUUUGCUAGGCUUAAAUGCUCGUAUGCUAGCCAUAUACCCUUGCUAUCGUAGUGUAUGCUUAUAUACUCUCAUGUAUGCCUUGAGAUCAUGCUUCAGUACAUACUCUGUAUGCACAUAUAUACCUUGUAUAGCUUAGUUAAUCUAUGCUACAACAUCGGUUCAAUGGCCAUGUUUAUGAUGGCUUCAGCCAUAGUCACAAUAGCUCGGGAUGGCUGGAGUGUUGUUAACAAUGCAAGCAUGGUGCUUGGAUUGCUUAGCUUCAUUGGAUAUGAGUUUGCCCACAGGCUGCAGGGGUAGGGGGCAGGUGGUGACAGCCUUAUCCAUCCUUCGUAAUCUUCCACGUUUGGGUAUGCUGUAGGAGGUCAUAAAUUAGCAGUAACUUUGCCGGGUGGAACUGGUACGAGUACUAUCUCCCCGUGUGUGCCUGGGUGCAUAGGCCUGAGUCCUAUACAAUGUGUAUGUAUGUUAUGCUUGUAUGAUCUGUGCAGUAUAUAGGAAGAACAUAUGAACCUAAAGCUAACUCUUAAUCCUUCUCCCUAGCUUAGUUAUCUUGAGAUGAUUCAUGUGUGUGUCACACUACAUAUCUAUCAUAUAUUACCCCUGCGUUGAGUAUUGUUUCUAUCCAUCUAUGGUAUACUCAUAUGCAUAGUAAAAUAUUUUGACCUACCUACCUUCCUUUGGGAAAUAUGAUACCCUUGGGAAUACUCUUGGGUGAAAUGCUACAAUGGUAUAUCCAUGUGCUUGCAGAUUUAUUCGUGAUCAUUAAAUAUACCAACAAGCAUUUCUAGUACCGUUUCUCGGGAAGGCACUGGUUCAAAGUUUUUAUUUUUUUUUAUGUUUAUAUUCAUAGUUGAUAGAUCAUUACUCAAGCAGGCUAACCUUGAUUGGCUUCUAUUUCUUUGAUGCGAACACAGGUAGUGUAUGACUGCUUUCGACUUGCUGACAAACUUUACCGAGAAUUUAGAGUCACUUGUGAGAAGGGUACGUUCUCAUGCCAUUCCUCCUCAGAUUACUCUCUUGGCAAUCGAUCUAGCUUCCUUCGCACCAUCUACAUCAAACGCAAUGGCCCAGAAGACUCUUCGUGAGUACUCCGUUCCCUCAGCCUCUCAGGUGCUGAAAGGCCCCAAGGUGGAAACGAGGAAUGUGAACUUUGAGAUCAAGAUGGGUCUCAUUACGAUGGUGCAGGCUAGCCCAUUAUGUGGCAAAGCCAAUGAGGAUGAAAGUGCCCAUCUACAGUAGUUCCUUGAGCUAUUCAACACCUUCACCAUCAGUGGGGUGAGUGAAGAUGCUAUUCGUUUUCGACUGUUUCCAUUCUCUCUCCUAGGGAGAGCAAAGCAACGGUUCUAUGUGAGCCGUAUGAAGGUGAAUACAUGGGAUAAAUGUUCAGCAGCAUUCCUAGGAAAGUUCUUCCCAUUGAGCAAAACCAACACCCUUCAUGGAAGGAUUUCAAGUUUCCAGCAAGCAGCUGCUGAGUCAAUUCCUGAGGCGUGGGAAAGGCUUCAAGAGUACAUCCUAGCAUGUUCUCACCACGGGAUGGAUAAGUGGCUCAUUCUUUAGAACUUCUUCAAUGGGUUGACUCCGACAUCCCAAGGCCAUGUUGAUGCUGCUGGUGGAGGAGCCUUCUUCUCGCUUACUAUUGAAGCUGCUACAAAUUUGAUCGAGAAGAUGGUCUCUAAUCAAGGGUGGAGCGAUGAGCGACUCCAACCUUGUCAGAGAGGUACACAUACCGUCAACGAAGCGGACAUGCUUACCACCAAAAUGGACCUCUUCAUGAAGAUAUUGGAUGACUACACCUAAGAGAAAGCUGCCAUGUCCAACACCGUCCAAGCUAUGAAUUCUCAUUUGACCUGUGAGGUUUGUGGAAACACUAGACACUCGGGGAAUAAUUGCCCUGAAACCCAGGAGGACGUAUUGUACAUGAACAACAGCAACAAUUAUCAUCCACAAGGAUGCCAAGGGUGGAAUCUACAACACCCUUACUAAGGAGGUAGCAAUGGUAAUUCUUUCAAUCCUAACCAACCCUCCUUUAGAGAUUGUGUUUUUGGGCAAGCUAAGAUAAUUGAAAGUUUCAAUAAGAAGUUAGCUGCCAACGAGAAAACCUUGGAUAGCCUCAACAUAAAACUUGAUGGUUUUUCUUCUGCCUUCAAGAACAAGCUGAGUUUUAAUAAGAUGUUUGAAACCCAGUUAGCUCAGCUGGCCACUGCUGUUCCUUCUACUGAGAUUGGGAAGAUCCCGGGACAACCUGAGUCUUCUCAUGAAAAUGUUAGUGUUGUGACUGCUAGAUGGGGUAAGCCAUCUAGGAGGCUGUUUAUUGCUAACCAUGCAGUAGAAGCCCAUACACCAAGGAAGGAAUCAUGGGAUGAACUAGUAGCAAGUAACGAAGAUCCGGGAUAUCCGGUGAUCAGCUGCUCGAUGUGUGACUACUACAUCAACUAGGCCAUCUGUGACUUUGGAGCAAGUAUCAACAUCAUGCCCAAGGCGAUAUUUGAAUGGCUGAACUAUCCUACUCUUUCCCCUACCUUGAUAAGGUUGCAGCUAGCUGACUCGACACUCCGAUAUCCUGAGGGAAUAGUUGAGAAUGUUUCGUUGAAAAUCUGAGUUUCCUAUGUCCCCAUGGAUUUUGUGGUCCUUGAAAUGGAAGGUGACUUGGGAAUGCUGCUCAUUCUUGGGUGACCAUUCUUAAAUGACGCCAAUGCAAGGAUCGAUGUUGGAGCUGGAGAAAUCAAAUUUUGCAUUGGGAAGAGCAAUAUGAUGUUCAAAUUUGAACUGAGGGAGGUGUUGGAGGUAUGCCCUAGAGGCAAUCAUAGAGAUGAUGAUAUUCCAUUUAUAUCCAUGAUUUGUAUAUUGUGUUCAUUGAAUAUCCAUUAAAGGCUACUUGAAUUGAUUUGCAAUUAUGUGAAUUGUAUGUGAAACUCUUUACUUGUAUGGUUAUUCUAAAGUUGUCCCUAGUCGGAGUUCAUGUGAGGACACACAUGAAUAUUAGACUAGCACAUGUAUUAGUUGAUGACUAUGUUUCACAAGUGAUGGACAUGGAGAUGUUGAACUAAUAAUGUGGACACAUGUGGAGACAUGUGCUAGGACUGACCCAACACGAGAAGUAGUUCUCUCUUUAAACAACAUAUACGCUUUAUCCUUAGACCUGAGAUUGUCGCAUGUAUUCUAGAUGUGGAUCGACCUACUUAGGGGCUAUCAAACGCUACGCCGUAACAGGGUAGUUAUAAAGGUAGCUUUCGGGUUUGUCAAGAAGCAUGCUAUGAGAUAUGGUCAAUCAAGAUGGGAUUUGCCCCUCUCUGAUUGAGAGUGAUAUCUCUGGGCCCCUCGAGUGAUCGGAUCCGAAAAUGCAUGGCCAUGCUACGUACGGUUAAGAGUUAACCUACAAAGGGAUUCCGAAUCACAGGAUCGAGAAAGAGUGGUCGGCUUGAAGCUAGACCAAAUAUCGUGAGGCAAAGGGAAUAGCAUGUGUAUUAUGUUGUGAUGGUUCGUCUGAUAUGAUCUUCGUGUGCGUAUAGGAGUUGGCACGUCUUGCUAGAGGCCGCUACCGACUAUUAGGCCGAGUAGGAGUACUCGGGCCAUGUCUAUACCUAUCCGAACCCAUAGAGUCACACACUUAAGGGGUUGGAAGCCCAAUUCGGAUCUGAUCCGAGUUGGAUUAGGUUUAGAAGUACUAAUGGGCCUCGAACCCAGAGACCCGUUAGGAACCUCUAUAAAUAGAGGGGUGGGUCACCCUAGGGUUUACACCUUUUUGGCGAAACACAUCUGCCGCGCCUCCCACACCCUCGCCUGUUGCAACUCGCGGAUCUAGCAGUCCGGCUUGCGACGCUUCCUCCCUACACGUGUGGAUACCUUGGAGGUGUUGCGCCUGCAGCACUUGGACAAGCCGCCGACGAGCCACGACGAGCCGACGACGAGCCGCGGCACGAGGGCGAUCUUGCUGCACGUGGACGAGCUGCUGAGGAGCUGCUGGACGUUGACGUGAUCGACUACGUACGACUACGUUGAUCGACUACGUACGACUACGUUGAUCGUCUUCACUGCAUCGACGCAAAUCUACAUCUUCCGCACCAGUAGGGCAUCGAGUGGUAAUCCCGUGAUCCUUAUACGGCAGUUCUUCCUGGUUUUACGUGGUAGAAAUUUUGAUUUGCGCUAGUGUAGCCUACCUCGUAUCCCAACAGGAGGAGCAAUGCUACUUGAUCGAUCAAGAAAAUGAGUGGCACAGGGAGUGGAUGGAGCCAGAGCCCUUAUCCAAAAAGCCACCAACCGUACCAACAAAACAAAAGAAGAUCAAGAAGGUGUGGCAGAAGGUGGAACGAGCACCCUCAUCCACUUCUCUAUGAAUGGAUGCUGAAUGGUAAACACGACAGAGAAGAGUCCUGCUCGUCAGACUCAAAAUGGUGAGCCUUUCGCUGAAAGCUAAAUCGGUAGUUAUCUCAUAUUUGGUUUCCAAAUUUAGAUUUCCCUAGCAUUUGAUUUUUCCCAAAGCAUAUUUCAUUUUUUCAACCCACAUUUGCAUGCUGGAAUUUUUCUAGCCAUUUUCCCCUUUUCAUAAAAAAUUCUGAAAAUGAUCUUGAGCUAAUAUCUCUUUGAAAAUUCGUUUGAGCAUUUUUUGAGCAAACUCUAGCUGAGGCACCCAAGCAUGACAUCAUGUAGCCGUUGGGGAGCUGUAGGCCAAAUGGGGGUAGCUGGUGGGGCCCACCAGGGGUUGGCCAAACCAAGAGAAAUGGUCCCUAGGCCCUACCAGCGCCAACUGCUAGUAGCUGUUGGCCACGGUCAGAAUCUGGUCGUUGCCCCCCUUGCUCUAUAAAUAGGACUCAAAAAGGAGGUGAUCUUCAUCCAUUACUCACAUUUCCUCCAUUCACUCCCUCUCUACUCUUUGCUCUUGGGUUUUCUUUGAAGUUUUCCUUAAAAGUUGAGUGCAAGCAAUCUAUCUCUCUUAAUUUCUUUGCUGCAAGAUUGGCCAAGCAUUGGAGGACCAAUGUACGGGUAAGUUUCAUUCGAUUACACUAAUGUAACCCGUUUCGAGUUUCUCUUGUAUUUCCUUUUUCUUCGGUGGCAAGCAUGAAGCUAGUUGCCAGCGAGUUCAGGAGGAUGACGGGUUCACGCUCGUCCCAUUCACGGGCUAGCACGAGCUCUCCUGAUUCCUCCAAACCAACACCGAUCCCGACUUCAUUGGACUAUGAAGAAGAGCAAGCUGAACCACAAGCUGAAGCUAUGGAGAUGGAUGCAAGUGCUGCCCCCUACCUUGACUUGCAAGGCGAUUGAGAGAAGCAAGCCUACGUGCCAUCCUCAAGGACCGGACCUUUGGUGACACUAAGGCCUACGACCGGGAAUUUCUGGUGAAUUUUGGUGGCAAGCAUGAAGCUAGUUGCUAGCGCGUUCAGGAGGAUGAUGGGUUCAUGCUCGUCCUGUUCAUGGGCUCGCAUGAGCUCUCCUCAUUCCUCCAAACCAACACCGAGCCCGACUUCGUUUGACUAUGAAGAAGAGCAAGCUGAACCACAAGCUGAAGCUACGAAGAUGGAUGCAAGUGCUGCCCCCUACCUCGACUUGCAAGGCGAUUGAGAGAAGCAAGCCUACAUGGCAUCCUCAAGGACAGGAACUUUGGUGACACCAAGGCCUACAACCUGGAAUUUCUGGUGAAAAUAGGUAUGGAUAUCGACUUUGCUUUUGUUUGGUCUGCUAUUGGGUGGGACGAUUCUUCGCUGGUGCGGAGCUUGAUUCUCGAUCCCUCACCAUCAAGUUUCUUUGCAGUCUUCGAGAGGUGAUGGACAAUGGUUCUUUCCGACUCUUCAGGAUGGAAUACCAUUUUACUUGGAAGGAAUUUAGCCAUCACCUCGGUUUCGGUCCUUGUUGCAUUGUUUCUCUUCACAAAGCUUGCCGCGGGUUUUCUCGACUUGGUUUUUGGGGUGACAUCUCUGGUCAGAGUGUCCAUGGCAAAUUUGCAGCUAGGUGCAAUGACAUUCAAAAUCCAAGCCUUAGUUUGAUGCACAAGUGGCUGGCCAUUACUCGCUUUCCAAGAGAGGAUGUUAGGCCCGUGCGCAACAAUGAAUUGAUGAUCUUAUACGCCAUGGUCAAGAAGAUCAAGAUCUCCCCCAUCAAGGAAAUGGUUAGGCAAUGGCUUGAGAAUUUUAGUAUGAUGGGUCCCAUUGAGUGCACUUCUUUGAUCACUCACGUCACUUCAAAGAUCGAGACUCUAGAUGGGAAUGCUAUUCCUUUCAUUGAGACACCUCGACUUCACAUCGGUGAAGUGUAUUUGAUUUAUGGCCACACAGUUAAGAAGGGCCCAGAUGAUUCUUUGGUUUUCUUCUUUUUCAGCUAUACAAAUGAGAUCCCAUUACGUAACCCUAGGUUUCGUUUGUAUAAUUGCCGUUCGCUAACCAUGUCUCUUGUGCCAGAAGAGGAAGCUCGCAGGAGCAGUGUUUCUAGUGGUAGGAUGACACAGAGCAUGUCAAGGAGCGCAGCUGCCACCACCACCACAACCCAGCCGCAGCCUCCUGUGUACCCAGCUCAGGUGGGAUAGGCCACAGCUGGAUAUGUGCCCGGGGUAACACCCGAGUACACUUCCGGUUGGGACCAACCUUCCAAUCAGCACGAGGCUAGUAGCUCGGCAUGGCAGAGCACGGGCGAUGAUGAUUGGGCCCAACUGAUCCAUCGGGACUAGUCCAUUAGUUCUAGCUUUGGUGGUGUUCCUUCCAUGUACGCCCCUCGGUGCUCGUUCUCAGUUCAAGACCGCUCUGAUCUUCCUCAGCAACUGAGCGAGCUCAGUGUGUGUACUAGAUACAUGGAGGAGUCACUGAACUAGCACAUCUAGUCCACUCAGAAUUGGCAAUGAUAGACCAGCAAGAGGAUACAUGCCAUGCAACAAUUUCAGCAGCAACAGCAGGAGGAGGUGAGGGUUUACUUUCGUUGGACGGGGUACAACCCCAACCAACAAAUAAAAAUUUGAAAAACUAAAUAGACAAAAAAUAUUUAGUGCUUUUCUAUGUGCGGUAAGAAUGUUUUAAUUUCUAAUGGUCGCAAUGAUGAAUAGUUGUUCUAUUUAUUUCCUCUCAUAUGUCUUGUUACAACUUAGUAUCCAACCCAUGUUUUUGAGUUUGUUGGUUUGUGUGAUCAAACCUUAGUUUGAAACUUGUGAGUAGCAAAAAAGCAUGAUCCGUGUCCAGGUUGUUGUGAGAUAUGAUAUGGUUGAAUAGAGUUGCUAUGAUCUUGUUCUAUGUGAUGCUUGAUAUCCGGAGUUUUACUUUUGAAAAAUGCUAAAAUGAUAAGUUCCUCAAUGAUUAGAAAUUCCUAUCCAAGGCCAUAUGUUGAUCGUAUUAAAUAGCCUCCACAUACGCGGCUUGUUCUCUCAUUGAGAUUUGUCAAAUUGUUGUGAUCCUUAGUGAGAUUCUUUUCAUACUCCCAUGAUCAAGAUCACGUACAUGCCACCACCAUAUGCUAAACUUCUACAUUGGAAGUUAGCAAUCAUCAUUUCAUCCAUCUACAUGGGCUAUGCAUGGCCACCACUAUGUUAUUUUAUGACCUCUCUCUCUCUCCAAUGUUAUCCUUGCAAAAGAUACAUGGACUAUGCAAGAAGAAAUAAAACACAUGUUCAUGAAAGCAUGAUGAAAAACAGAGAGAAAGAAAAAGAUAUCCCAUGUCCUAGAAAAAGCAAAGGAGAGAGAAGGAUCAUACAAAAGGAGUCUAUAUACCAUCCACCAUAUUCACCAUCCACACAUAUGCACAUCUUGAUCAGGUUGUAUGACUUGCUUCUCCAAAAGAUCCGAUCUUUGACUCAUCAAUACAUGAAAGACAAGUAUUCCUUCAUCUUUCCUACCUACGGCUCC
Molecule: long non-coding RNA, 39352 nt
Filed under: Setaria viridis
Lineage: Eukaryota; Viridiplantae; Streptophyta; Magnoliopsida; Poales; Poaceae
Description: long non-coding RNA (SVIR_LNC009073)
Source: RNAcentral